Molecule: non-coding RNA, 628 nt
Organism: Schizosaccharomyces pombe (fission yeast)
Lineage: Eukaryota; Fungi; Ascomycota; Schizosaccharomycetes; Schizosaccharomycetales; Schizosaccharomycetaceae
Source: the annotation of a GenBank genome assembly
AAUGGCCACGCUUUAUCUUCUUUAGUGAUAGUCACAAAAAAUGUAGCAUCUUCAAGGGUAACGCACAAUCUGAGCAAAGUAGUAGACAUGUUAUUGUCAUCAUCGUCAAAUUCAAAUGCUUUUAAAUGAACAAUACCAACGUUUUGAGCCAAAAAUGGAGAAGUCCAAUGGUUAUUAGAUGAAGGAAGGGAAAGUAGUAAAGCAAUUUCUUGAGGGUUACUAAAGUACAUCAUCGGGAUGAGUUCAUUACUGGGUAAAUGAAGGACUUUAGAGCUUCCAAAUUCUCGUAAAGAAACUGUACAAUCCAAAUGGUUCUUGAAGACAAACCUCGGAGUAAACGUUACGGACUUGGUAAGGCAAAAUUUACCUGAUGACUCUGAUAUCGACAUUCCUAAUAAACACACAUCACUUUCAUUUGUCUUCCUGACUUCUACUUGGCUUGAGGACCCCAAUGUAUCGAAUCCAAUAUCCGCCGACCAGGAUGUCCCGUUGUCAAUUGAAAUCAUGGCUCGGUUCUUGCGACCACUCUCAUCAAACGAAUAAAAAUAUGGUUUAAUGUCAUUGGAAUAACUACCUGAGGGAAUAGUGUAUCGGAUCGAAUUUGGAGAACUUGAGGUAACUUGAAUAG